GAUGAACGCUGGCGGCGUGCCUAAUACAUGCAAGUCGAGCGAACGGACGAGAAGCUUGCUUCUCUGAUGUUAGCGGCGGACGGGUGAGUAACACGUGGAUAACCUACCUAUAAGACUGGGAUAACUUCGGGAAACCGGAGCUAAUACCGGAUAAUAUUUUGAACCGCAUGGUUCAAAAGUGAAAGACGGUCUUGCUGUCACUUAUAGAUGGAUCCGCGCUGCAUUAGCUAGUUGGUAAGGUAACGGCUUACCAAGGCAACGAUGCAUAGCCGACCUGAGAGGGUGAUCGGCCACACUGGAACUGAGACACGGUCCAGACUCCUACGGGAGGCAGCAGUAGGGAAUCUUCCGCAAUGGGCGAAAGCCUGACGGAGCAACGCCGCGUGAGUGAUGAAGGCCUUCGGAUCGUAAAACUCUGUUAUUAGGGAAGAACAUAUGUGUAAGAAACUGUGCACAUCCUGACGGUACCUAAUCAGAAAGCCACGGCUAACUACGUG
RNAcentral lists this ribosomal RNA (497 nucleotides) under uncultured bacterium. Its description in RNAcentral is "partial 16S ribosomal RNA". It matches the Rfam family "Bacterial small subunit ribosomal RNA", at positions 28 to 507 of the family's 1533-position model. The record is from RNAcentral.